Poecilia latipinna (sailfin molly) is the source of this 718-nucleotide long non-coding RNA. RefSeq lists it as uncharacterized. The record is from RefSeq and is a predicted model, not a curated record. Lineage: Eukaryota; Metazoa; Chordata; Actinopteri; Cyprinodontiformes; Poeciliidae. The transcript has 4 exons.
CUACUACACUAUUACUGCUACAUGUUUAGCAUUGAGAUGCUAGGCUAACUCCCUUUAUCACAACAGUCUUUUCCAUCGGUUUUAGAAGCAGAAAGUAACCCGAUAAAUGGUCUCGUCCAUCACUGUUGUUAGCGACGUAUCAGAAACAAUGCAAAGAUUACGGCUUGAGACUUUUGUAUUUAAAACAAAACAAAAAAAAAAGGAAAAUGUGAUUCAAGACUGGCAGCUUUUUAAAGAUGUUUCUUGCUUACAAACCCUUCUAAUAAUUCUCAGACUUUUUAGGCAGCAACAAUCACUCCCAUUGGUCAUUGCUGAUGUCUUUCCUGAAGCUGUAAACUGAAGUCAGUAACUGAAUGUUCAAACAUCCAUUCAAACCUCAGGCACAAUUUCCAUUAAAUGAAAGCAGAGACGUGCUGUGAAGACCUAAGAUGGCUGCCAGCAAUGACAUGACUAAAAAUAACCCAACCUGUUUUUGUGGAUCAGCUGGGUGACGGCACUUCCCGGGAACGUCGGCUCAGAGACCACCGGAAUACCUCGCAUUCCUGCAGGGAGUAGCUGUUGCCAGAGCUUUAAGAGCUGAGAGAUCAAGAGGAAGUUCCUUCAGCCAUUUUAAACACAUUUCUGGUGCUGACAGGGCGAAUCCAGGCUCUGGCCGCACUUCCAGCAGCAGUAAUGUUGCAGAUGCCACGUCCGUCCGUCUUCCGCCGUGAUAAACGAC